CAGAUCUGUGAUCUGUGUGGUUUUCUGGAGAAUCCAGACUGUAAAAUGGAGACUCUGAGCUCUGAACAGAAACAAUGGAGCAGGAACGUUGUCUUCUAAAGGCACAUGUUUCAUUCUUUAUUCAGACUGAGCUCCUGCAGUUUGUCAGAGACCAGCUGUGCUUCUCUGGCCUCAGCUCUGAAGUCCAACCCCUCCUAUCUGAGAAAGCUGGACCUGUGGGGAAACAACCUGCAGGAUUCAGACCUGAAGGAGCUGUGUGAUCUUGUGGAGAGUCCAGACUGUCGACUGGAGACUCUGAGGUGGAAGUGAUGAGCUGUAUCCUGAAGAUCCAGAGAGGCUGAAGCAACAGCUUGUUACUGGGAGGUCGAGUAGAGAGGAGAUGAUGAAUCAUGACAGAAGUCAUUUCACUGCACUUUUCAUGUAGAGCAGAUAUAGACUGUGCCUGUUCAUAACGUCCAUCUGAAGUGAAUCUGAAGCUUCAGCAGAGUUAGAAAACCAGCGUUUCAGUUUCAAAGAUUUUUUUACUUUAACUUUGGAAGAUUUGUUGAACCCUCAUGUUGUCUUCAGCCUUUGAAUGUAUUAUUGUACAUGAGGAACACAUUGUUUCUAUAUCUUCCAUUAAAUUAGCAUUAGUGAGGAAUAAUUAUAAAGACUAAGAACUCUUUCAGUGUGUUUAGGGGCGUGUGAAUGUUGAUAUAAGAUUAGAUGUUGAUAUUGAUUUAAUUAAUCACUUAUUACCUAUACUUUACAGAUGGGUGAUAAUUUAAUAGAAAACAGUAUGACAGUGCCUCCAUACUUUUCUUAGGGCACAAGGGGUCACUGAAUGGUUUAAUGAGUUUGAAAAUGAUGUGAAUCAUAUGGUAUAACCUUCACAGUCCAGAUCUCAACCCAGCUGAACACAUAUGGAAGAUUUUGGACUGUUUGACAGUGCUCUCCACCACCACCAAUCAAAACUCUGAAUAAGGGAAUAUCUUUUGGAAGAAUGAUGUUCAAUCCCUCCUGGUGAGACCUGGUGUCCCAAGACCUCACUAAGACACUGGUCUUUCCUUUAAUUUGUCACCUAUCUGUACUUACUAUUCCUUACUGCUUUAUCUUUGGUGUUUAGUUCUGAUGUUUUAUAGCAGAAUAAUUAACAUAUGUAAAUUCAUAUUUCACAGCAUUUAUUAUACACUCUUCUGUUCUUAUUGCACUCCAACCUUUCUUAAACUGUACACUGUAUUUCUGAGUAAUACUGUUUCUGAUAUAUGUGUGUGUGUGUGUGUGUGUAUUGUAUUUUUAUUUAAUUCUACUUUAGUACAUACAGUAUAUAGUGUAUUUUAUAAUAUACAGUUCUGCAGAUCUGCAGCUCUGCAGUUGUGGUUUUAAUUGUAAUUCUCUUGUUAUCCACAGAUUGCAGUAACAUUACUAUUUCACUCUCAAGUCAAUAAAGUCUGUGUCUAUCUACA
RNA transcript from Lates calcarifer (barramundi perch), 1445 nucleotides. It is a transcript of the gene named ribonuclease inhibitor, with no coding region annotated. The record is from RefSeq and is a predicted model, not a curated record. The transcript is spliced from 3 exons. Lineage: Eukaryota; Metazoa; Chordata; Actinopteri; Centropomidae.